Molecule: long non-coding RNA, 1753 nt
Organism: Phacochoerus africanus (Common warthog)
Lineage: Eukaryota; Metazoa; Chordata; Mammalia; Artiodactyla; Suidae
Exons: 4
Source: RefSeq, a predicted model, not a curated record
CCUGGCUUUGAAUCUCAUCCUUCUGAUUUCUAGCGCUCUGACUUUGGCAAGAUCUCUAAGCACUCAGAACUUCGGUUUCUUCUCCUGUUCAAUGGAAAUCAUCCCUUUCUCACAGUAAUCCCACUACAGUUAAGUCAGAGCUCCAGUGCCGUAUAUGCUUCUAGGAUGUAGCCGGAGGUGAGAAGUAAGGGAUUCUGGUCUAUCUUUGUGUUGUCACAUCAGCCCUUCAGUCAUUCUCCUGCCAUACUUGUCUGGACUGGAGGAGAAAAAACACAACCUGUGCCCUCUACGCCAGCCACGCCAAGGACCCACCUGCAACUCAUCCGGUCUGCCGUGUUCUCUCCGGCUUUACCGCUUUGACUUUGCCAUCCUUUCCGCAUGCAAUUUCCUCCACGCCCUCCUCCCAACUUAAACCAGGUGUUAUUCAUUCUUAAGCUUACGCUCACUCAUCACUUCAUUCAAGAAGUCUUCUUUCAUGCUGCCUCCAGACCCUGUGUGUGCUCCCUGCCUAGCACAGAAGUACCAUGGCAUCGAUUCUAUUGCAUUGAAAUAGCCUGGGUACAAGUCUCCUUUCACUGCUCAUCUCAAAGCAGUUGGAAUCUCAUCUCUGUGUCGUCAGCCCCUGCCCGAAACAGAGCAAGUGCCCAGCGUAGACUGAAGUCAAUUUCCUUCUUAACUGCAGCCCCGUCUCUGAGCCUCCCUCUCCCCUCUGUUCUCUCCUAACCCCCUUGCCCUCUGCACUCGAAUCCUUGGCAGUGCUGCCUACAUUUGAGCCAUUCGUGUAUUGAUGUGACUACUGGGUGACCACAGACUUGAAUGAAUUUUAUGUUCCCUCUCCCAGCCUUCUAAUUACCAGAAAGGGAUCUCAGCGCUCAGCCAGUUCUACCUCUUAUGUAAUGCAGGACCUGCUUCCUGGAUGGUCACUUAGUCUUUGCUGAAAAUAAUCCCUAAAGCUUGGAUACCGAGUGGAUAUAAUGAAAGCAUCGAGGAAAACAUCCUGGCACAUGGGAGCUGAUUUGCUCUGUUGAUGAGGACAGGGCGAUCCAGUACCAACAGAAGCUGAGAAAGGAAGGGAUAUUUGGUUUUCUUCGGCAAACCUUCAUUUCCUUUCAGAUUACAGUCCAGGUGAAAAGGAUGUGUGACUACCUCAAUCUUUCGGGCUGUGUCCUGUGGGCUGGUUUUGGCUGGGACUCCACAGGUGAAAUGAUUGCAGCCUUCUGCUCGGGCUGCGAGGAGCCUUUGUUAUCUCCGCAGCAAGUUUUGGACUCUUAACAGUUUUUGAAGAAGAAAAAAAGAGGCAAAGACAGUGGCUCUUUGUGUGUCUCAAAGGCAGCACUGUUUCCUGGGGCUGGCACGGCCCACGGACAACGUGCUGCCCUUCAUGCGAGAUUGUUUCACUGCCCCGACACAUGGACUGCCCGGUGCCAGUCUUCAUGCAGGAGAGAAACACUGGAUGCCCCCUGCGAUGGCAGGACCACUUACAAAGCAGCAAAUGGAGACCACCUUCUGAUGCCAACUGUCAAUAAUCCAUCCUCAUCCUCUCCUCAGGUCCCGGAGAGGCUUCCUGAUACCUGGCUGAUUUAUGACGCCUGUUGCCCAGCAGUCAACCGUGGUCGUGAACUUAGAACUUUAUUUGUAACAGCCCCAAAUUGGGAAGAAUCCAGUUGUCCUUCUUCGAGUGCACGGAAAAGCAAACUCCGGAUGACCACAGCAUGGAAGACAGCUCAGUGACAAAAAGGUACAAACUUUUUUU